GACGAACGCUGGCGGCGUGCCUAAUACAUGCAAGUAGAACGCUGAAGGAGGAGCUUGCUUCUCUGGAUGAGUUGCGAACGGGUGAGUAACGCGUAGGUAACCUACCUGGUAGCGGGGGAUAACUAUUGGAAACGAUAGCUAAUACCGCAUAAAAUUGAUUAUUGCAUGAUAGUCAAUUAAAAGGUGCAAUUGCAUCACUACCAGAUGGACCUGCGUUGUAUUAGCUAGUUGGUGGGGUAACGGCUCACCAAGGCAACGAUACAUAGCCGACCUGAGAGGGUGAUCGGCCACACUGGGACUGAGACACGGCCCAGACUCCUACGGGAGGCAGCAGUAGGGAAUCUUCGGUAAUGGACGGAAGUCUGACCGAGCAACGCCGCGUGAGUGAAGAAGGUUUUCGGAUCGUAAAGCUCUGUUGUAAGAGAAGAACGAGUGUGAGAGUGGAAAGUCACACUGUGACGUAUCUACCAGAAGGACGCA
This 480-nucleotide ribosomal RNA is filed under the name Streptococcus sp. oral taxon 058. RNAcentral's name for it is "bacterial SSU rRNA". It matches the Rfam family "Bacterial small subunit ribosomal RNA", at positions 28 to 495 of the family's 1533-position model. The record is from RNAcentral. Lineage: Bacteria; Bacillati; Bacillota; Bacilli; Lactobacillales; Streptococcaceae.